GAUGAACGCUAGCGGCAGGCUUAAUACAUGCAAGUCGUGGGGCAGCAUGAGUAGCAAUACUUGAUGGCGACCGGCAAACGGGUGAGGAACACGUACACAACCUUCCUUCAAGCGGGGAAUAGCCCAGAGAAAUUUGGAUUAAUACCCCAUAAUAUAUUUGAUAAGGCAUCUUAUUAAAUAUUAAAGCUUCGGCACUUGAUGAUGGGUGUGCGGCUGAUUAGAUAGUUGGCGGGGUAACGGCCCACCAAGUCUACGAUCAGUAGCUGAUGUGAGAGCAUGAUCAGCCACACGGGCACUGAGACACGGGCCCGACUCCUACGGGAGGCAGCAGUAAGGAAUAUUGGACAAUGGACGAAAGUCUGAUCCAGCCAUGCCGCGUGAAGGAUUAAGGUCCUCUGGAUUGUAAACUUCUUUUAUAUGGGACGAAAAAGGGCAUUCUUGUUCACUUGACGGUACCAUAUGAAUAAGCACCGGCUAACUCCGUGCCAG
RNAcentral lists this ribosomal RNA (489 nucleotides) under uncultured bacterium. Its description in RNAcentral is "bacterial SSU rRNA". It matches the Rfam family "Bacterial small subunit ribosomal RNA", at positions 28 to 511 of the family's 1533-position model. The record is from RNAcentral.